UACGUAGGGUGCGAGCGUUGUCCGGAAUUACUGGGCGUAAAGAGCUCGUAGGCGGCUUGUCACGUCGGUUGUGAAAGCCCGGGGCUUAACCCCGGGUCUGCAGUCGAUACGGGCAGGCUAGAGUUCGGUAGGGGAGAUCGGAAUUCCUGGUGUAGCGGUGAAAUGCGCAGAUAUCAGGAGGAACACCGGUGGCGAAGGCGGAUCUCUGGGCCGAUACUGACGCUGAGGAGCGAAAGCGUGGGGAGCGAACAGG
This 253-nucleotide ribosomal RNA is filed under the name uncultured bacterium. RNAcentral describes it as "partial 16S ribosomal RNA". It matches the Rfam family "Bacterial small subunit ribosomal RNA", at positions 524 to 776 of the family's 1533-position model. The record is from RNAcentral.